This 170-nucleotide antisense RNA is filed under the name Escherichia coli. RNAcentral describes it as "sok". It matches the Rfam family "sok antitoxin (CssrC)". From Rfam's summary of the family: Also identified in Shigella as CssrC. The record is from RNAcentral. Lineage: Bacteria; Pseudomonadati; Pseudomonadota; Gammaproteobacteria; Enterobacterales; Enterobacteriaceae.
CGGCGCUUGAGGCUUUCUGCCUCAUGACGUGAAGGUGGUUUGUUGCCGUGUUGUGUGGCAGAAAGAAGAUAGCCCCGUAGUAAGUUAAUUUUCUGUACUGCACCCAUUUUGUUGGACGAUGAAAUGGAAUAGCCCCUAAUAUGUCAAAGCCAAAAUACCCUUUUGAAAAG